AGUUAGGAUUUAAAGCUUAACUAGCUAUAUGCACGUAGUCGUAACUGAAAGGUUGAUCGACCACAGUGGGCCUGAAUAAAGCCCAUGACGAUUGUCACAGCAGUGAGGAAUAUUGGUCAAUAGCCUAACGGCUGAACCAGCAACUUGGAGGAAUGUAUAGCAAUAGCUACUUGCAUCAUUGUAAAUAUGAUGCAAGAUCGACUAUGUGGAAUAAAAUUCUAGGUAGAAUUAUGAUAAUGACAUUGUCUGCCUAUGUGUCUUGACCAAAUUACGUGCCAGCAGUCGCGGUAAUACGUAGAAGACUAGUGUUAUUCAUGUUUAAUCGGUUUAAAGGGUACCUAGACGGUAAAUCAAGCCUAAAAGGAAAUAAAUGAAGGGACUAAUUUACUAGAGUUACUUAUGAGGGGGUAUUAAAGUACUGCUGGUGUAGAGAUGAAAUUCUGUCAUACCUCUUUUCAAUAGAAAAAUAACGGCACAGGUAUAGGCGAAAGCAUCCCCUUAUGUGAUAACUGACGUUGAGGGACGAAGGCUUUGUGUAGCGAACAGGAUUAGAUACCCCAGUAGUCAAAGCAGAAAAUGAUGAAUGUCAUAGAUUAGAUAUAUAAGUUUAUUCUAUAAAUGAAAGUGUAAGCAUUCCACCUCAAGAGUAAUUUGGCAACAUUGGAACUGAAAUCAUUAGACCGUUUCUGAAACCAGUAGUGAAGUAUGUUGUUUAAUUUGAUGAUCCGCAAAAAACCUUACCACAAUUUGAAUAUUUAUAUCUUUUAUUG
Molecule: ribosomal RNA, 770 nt
Filed under: Cetraria sepincola
Lineage: Eukaryota; Fungi; Ascomycota; Lecanoromycetes; Lecanorales; Parmeliaceae
Description: SSU rRNA
Rfam family: Bacterial small subunit ribosomal RNA
Source: RNAcentral